Molecule: long non-coding RNA, 1846 nt
Filed under: Heterocephalus glaber (naked mole-rat)
Lineage: Eukaryota; Metazoa; Chordata; Mammalia; Rodentia; Bathyergidae
Description: lncRNA (ENSHGLG00100037280.1)
Source: RNAcentral
CUUACAUUCUGGAGGCACCGCUGGGAUUUCUGGGUGUGCUUCACUACAGUCAGCUCCUCGGAGCAUUUGGUAAGGCCCCCGGUCUUACAUUUUGGAGGCCCCAGAGAGAUCCCUGGGUAAGGAACCCUGGUUCAGCCGAGACUCUGUUGUGGGAUCCAGCAGGAGACUCAGGCACAGACCUCAGAAAACCUCUGGAGGUUUGAUUCCAAGACCCUGGAACCUCGUUGGAAGGGACAGGUUCCUGUUGUCCUGUCAACUCCCUUGGCGGUAAAGGUGGCUGGACAUUCUGCUUGGAUACAUCACAACCAUCUAAAAGCAGGACCCCCCAAGGAUGUCAAAAAGGACAAAUGGAAGGUUAUCAGCCAACCAGGUGACCAAAAGCUAAGACUGGAAUGGGUUGGAGAUGUUUCACCUUAAUGAUAAUAUUCUCUGGGACACUGGCAUUAUUGCCCCCAAGAGGACUAGAUCACACAAAAACAUGUAUGGAUUCAAUUGGCAAACUCACUUAACUUGUCUGAAUUCUGCUUAAAUGUUGAUGUAAAUUUCCAUUAUGUGCUGGGAAGCUGUCUCAUUCCGGUAUGCACCUCUUUAAAAUUAAUAUGACCCUAUACCCUAUUCAAGGACAUCCCAGGAAAAAAUCUUACUUACCUGGAUAGUUAUAAUUGGGGGCAUGACACCUGCCGUAAACCUAAAAAUGCUGUCAAAUUAUAUACACCCAAGGUAAUUAUGUCAAACAAAACUGAAUGUGCUAUGUAUGAAAAUUGUACAACCAAAUGUCCGAGGAUAAAACGGUCAAAAGGGAUGUCCUGCCAUAUAAAACAAAAAAUUGUGUGUAACAAUUGCCAUAUCUCCCUGCCCACAGGAUGGUUUUAUACCUGUGAAGGAAUAACCUUUAAUUAUAUUCCAGCAAAUUUAACCAAGACCCAUUGCUGUUUGAGUCGUCUAGCUGUAGUGUUGCCAGACAGAACUGAUUUGAUUGUGCCUAACAGAACUAAACGUUGGUCACCUUACACUGCACCAGGAUGCGAUGAUGACAUAGGUCUAUUAACAGAUGCUGAAGUAAUAACCAUGAUAGCAUCUUUUGUUGCCCUGCCUUCUAUAGGAGUCCAUGCUGAAAAGGCAGUAUGAAAAUUAGCUUUCAAGGUGGUCAAAGGGUUAAAUGCUACCUCAUCAGCCUUGGCAUUAAUUAACCAAGAGUUACAGGAACAGAGACAGGCAAUCUUAGAUAAUAGAGCAGCAAUAGACUAUUUGUUGCUCCUCCACCACCAAGGUUGUGAAAGAGUAAAAAAUAUGUGUUGUUUCAAUCUUACCGAUAAUGGCCCAAAAGAUUGAAGAAAAGGUAAAACAAUUAGAAGAUCUGGCUAAAAAAAAUAUAUAAUGAGGAUGGCGGGGACUUGUUCAAAUGGUUAACUUCGUGGUUGCCCAACCUACAAUUCUUAAAACAACUUUGUCUUGUCAUCAUAGUUGUGUGUACAUGCUUAUUAUUGUCAUGUUGUUGUAUACAAUGGAUACCUACAUUUGUGCGUAAGAUUACUUAAGUUCCAAAAAUCAGUGGGGAAUGUGGGACUGCAUAACCUUUGUUCCUUUUCUCCAGCCCCAUUGUGAUUAAAUGUGAGUUAAUGGAUAAAGAUGCUUGUUAGUUUUGGGACACUAGAUAAAAAUCUGUAACAGAUAUAAAGUCCCAAAGUAAACUACUCAACUCCUUGUUUGCCCAGAACUGAUGUUCCGGGCACCACAAUUUUUAGAACAAGCUGCAAUUGUCUGCUGACCAUCAAUACAUGACAGUGGACCACUAACCUUUGUCCCCUUUUCUUUAAUUCUAUAUGUUAACUUCCCCCUCAACCCC